RNAcentral lists this ribosomal RNA (200 nucleotides) under uncultured bacterium. Its description in RNAcentral is "partial 16S ribosomal RNA". It matches the Rfam family "Bacterial small subunit ribosomal RNA", at positions 30 to 231 of the family's 1533-position model. The record is from RNAcentral.
AUUGAACGCUGGCGGCAGGCCUAACACAUGCAAGUCGAGCGCGAAAGUUCUUCGGAAUGAGUAAAGCGGCGGACGGGUGAGUAAUACAUGGGGAAUCUGCCUGGUAGUGGGGGACAACGUUUCGAAAGGAACGCUAAUACCGCAUACGCCCUACGGGGGGAAAGGGGGGGAUCUUCGGACCUCUCGCUAUCAGAUGGAGC